CGCAAGCCUGACGGAGCAAGACCGCGUGGGGGAGGAAAGCCUUUGGGUUGUAAACCCCUUUUCUCAGGGAAGAAGAAAGUGACGGUACCUGAGGAAUCAGCCUCGGCUAACUCCGUGCCAGCAGCCGCGGUAAUACGGAGGAUGCAAGCGUUAUCCGGAAUUAUUGGGCGUAAAGCGUCCGCAGGUGGCUUGUCAAGUCUGCUGUCAAAACCCAGGGCUCAACUCUGGUCAGGCAGUGGAGACUACAUAGCUAGAGUUCGGUAGGGGCAAAGGGAAUUCCCGGUGUAGCGGUGAAAUGCGUAGAGAUCGGGAAGAACAUCGGUGGCGAAAGCGCUCUGCUGGGCCGCAACUGACACUGAGGGACGAAAGCUAGGGGAGCG
Molecule: ribosomal RNA, 380 nt
Filed under: uncultured cyanobacterium
Lineage: Bacteria; Bacillati; Cyanobacteriota
Description: bacterial SSU rRNA
Rfam family: Bacterial small subunit ribosomal RNA
Source: RNAcentral